This is a long non-coding RNA of Telopea speciosissima, 574 nucleotides long. RefSeq lists it as uncharacterized. The transcript is spliced from 3 exons. Lineage: Eukaryota; Viridiplantae; Streptophyta; Magnoliopsida; Proteales; Proteaceae. The record is from RefSeq and is a predicted model, not a curated record.
UGUAAAGAACCAGAUCUCCCAUUACUGUUGAAAGUGAACGAUCACUCUCCUCACCCUGAGUCUGCAUCUCUAAUUGGCAAAAGAAGUCGAAGAAAUUGAAGGAGUAGAGCAUUCAUGGCGGGUGGAGAACACGGUCACGGAGAGGGAACCCAUGGAGACUUCAGAACCAAGGUUUGGACUAUGACUGGUGGCCCAAAUUGCAGGCCUCAGCACUGGAAGCGAAACACGGCUAUCGCCAUGGCAGGGAUCUUUCUUAUUUGCAUUCCCAUCGCCAUGAAAUCCGCAGAACUCGAGCAACGGCCUCAUCCUCCUGUUCGCCCAAUUCCUUCACAGCUCUGGUGCAAGAAUUUUGGAAAUAAGGAAUACUGAUCAUACUUGAUGAUAUUAUUGAAGAGUGUUCAGACACAGAAUUCAUCAAGGAACCAGUGUGAUAUUUAAUUUUGGUAAUUACUGAGGAUCUGUUUCAGUUAUCCAUGGUUGUUGUUUAAACAGUGUCUACUUAUAUUUGAAUCAUCGACAUGCUCGAAUGGAGCGUCACAGUGCAUAUGUGUGUUGUUAAGGAGAAUAAAUCUUG